Long non-coding RNA from Andrographis paniculata, 838 nucleotides. RefSeq lists it as uncharacterized. The transcript has 3 exons. Lineage: Eukaryota; Viridiplantae; Streptophyta; Magnoliopsida; Lamiales; Acanthaceae. The record is from RefSeq and is a predicted model, not a curated record.
AUAACUUCUUCUUAUUCUUUUGAUUCCGUUGGUGAUAAGAGGAUUCUUCCUAUUUCUCUAGUAUUAUAUUGUACAUAUCAUAGAUCAAAUGGAACAGGCCUUGCUCCAAUUUUUUUUAUGUCGGACAUGAGGGCAGGAUACCACUUUGAUCAAGUAAUGGUUCAUGGUAAUGCUUAUUGGUUUAUUCUUGCUCACAUCUUUUAUAAUCUUGCCAAGAGUGGGAUUCUUUUUCUCUGCUUGUUAAGGUAACUUUCUUAUGGAACUUUUGGCUUCCCUUUGUUCUUUUUUUUUUACUGAACUUACAAAAAUUUGAACAUUUUGUAUGCCUGAAUGAAGAAAUUAGCACAUGAGGCCUCUAGGGAGAGAUGUCAACAUGAGUGAUCUGCUCUUCCAGCUGAAUAAUUGUUCAAUGUAUUAGAUCAAAAUGGUUUUCUUGCUUAUACAGAACAGCUGAUGCAUGGUUUCCUGGUAAUAAUUUUGUGAUUGCUGUGACAUCUCACAUAUGUUCAGUGUUCUCACCCAGGACAAGGCACAAAGGAGAAGCUAAUGAGGAGUUGGAGUAAAAUCGUAUUGUAAAUGAACUAAUAUAAAUCGUGAAGGAAGAUUAUCUGAUGCAUUUCUUUUUCAAGAAAAUGUGUGGAGUAUGAGAGGCGUGUCGGGGAUGAAGAUCGGAUUGUGGCCAGGAAGAAAAGGCCAUGGGUUGUGGAGACCACUGCCUUUGCUUGAAAGAUGGAAGAAAAACACUGAAAGAUAUACACCUAAUGCUUUCAAUCCAUGGAGAACAACUCAUCUAUAUUCAAUUAGGGCAACAUUCCACAUGAAGUAUUAAAAAGGUAUG